This 827-nucleotide ribosomal RNA is filed under the name uncultured archaeon. Its description in RNAcentral is "bacterial SSU rRNA". It matches the Rfam family "Archaeal small subunit ribosomal RNA", at positions 46 to 879 of the family's 1478-position model. The record is from RNAcentral.
AAGCCAUGCGAGUCGAGAGGGUUCGGCCCUCGGCAGACUGCUCAGUAACACGUGGAGAACUUGCCCUAGGCUGGAGGAUAACGUCGGGAAACUGACGAUAAUACUCCAUAGCCCAUCCUUCCUGGAACGGUGGAUGGGUGAAAGCUCCGGCGGCCUAGGAUAGCUCUGCGGCCUAUCAGGUUGUAGCGAGGGUAACGUCCUCGCUAGCCUACGACGGGUAUGGGUGUUGGGAGACAUCGCCCAGAGAUGGAUUCUGAGACACGAAUCCAGGCCCUACGGGGCGCAGCAGGCGCGAAAACUGCACAAUGUGGGAAACCACGAUGCGGGAAACCCAAGUGCCAGCGCUAUGCGUUGGCUGUCCUCCAGUGUUCGUAACUGGGGAAGAAAGUGCUGGGUAAGACGGGUGCCAGCCGCCGCGGUAAUACCCGCAGCACAAGUGGUGGUCAUUAUUAUUGGGCCUAAAGCGUCCGUAGCUGGCCUGUUAGAUGCCUGGGUAGAUCGAUGCGCUCAACGCAUCGAAUUCCGGGUAGACCGGCAGGCUUGGGACCGGGAGAGAUGUGAGCUACUCGAGGGGUAGGGGUAAAAUCCUGUAAUCCUUCGGGGAGGACCAGUGGCGAAGGCGUCACAUUAGAACGGCUCCGACAGUGAGGGACGAAGCCCUGGGGCGCAAACCGGAUUAGAUACCCGGGUAGUCCAGGGUGUAAACGCUGCAGACUUGGUGUCGGUGAUCCUACGAGGGUUGCCGGUGCCGUAGAGAAGUUGUUUAGUCUGCCGCCUGGGGAGUACGGUCGCAAGACUGAAACUUAAAGGAAUUGGCGGGGGAGCAC